RNAcentral lists this ribosomal RNA (1233 nucleotides) under metagenome. RNAcentral describes it as "bacterial LSU rRNA". It matches the Rfam family "Bacterial large subunit ribosomal RNA", at positions 1564 to 2808 of the family's 2925-position model. The record is from RNAcentral.
UGAAUACGAGACGCUAAGGCGUCGAAGUAGUGUAUGUCAUGCUCCCAAGAAAAGCUUGCACUGUCAUAGAUAAAAAACGCCUGUACCAUAACCGACACAGGUGGGUAGGUAGAGUAUACUAAGGGGCGCGAGAGAACUCUCUCUAAGGAACUCGGCAAAAUAACUCCGUAACUUCGGGAGAAGGAGUGCCUUAUUAUUAAGGCUGCAAUAACAAGAUCCAAGCAACUGUUUAUCAAAAACACAGGUCUCCGCUAAGUCGUAAGACGAUGUAUGGGGGCUGACGCCUGCCCAGUGCAGAAGGUUAAAGAAGUUGGUUAGCAUUUGCGAAGCUGAUAACUGAAGCCCUGGUGAACGGCGGCCGUAACAAUAACGGUCCUAAGGUAGCGAAAUUCCUUGUCGGGUAAGUUCCGACCCGCACGAAAGGCGUAAUGAUUUGGAUACUGUCUCGGAGAGGGGCUCGGUGAAAUAGACUUGUCUGUGAAGAUGCGGACUACCUGCACCAGGACAGAAAGACCCUAUGAAGCUUUACUGUAACUUGAAAUUGAAAUUGGACUUUAUUCGCGCAGCAUAGGUGGGAGGCGUUGAUUAUAAUCUUGUGGGAUUAUUGGAGCCAUCAGUGAGAUACCACUCUUGUAAUGUUAGAUUUCUAACUUUGAAUCAUUAUCUGGUCAAAGAACAGUUUCAGGCGGGCAGUUUGACUGGGGCGGUCGCCUCCUAAACGGUAACGGAGGCGUACAAAGGUUUCCUCUGAACGGUUAGAAAUCGUAUCUAGAGUGUAAAGGCAUAAGGAAGCUUGACUGUGAGACCUACAAGUCGAGCAGGGACGAAAGUCGGUCUUAGUGAUCUGACGGUACUGAGUGGAAAGGCCGUCACUCAACGGAUAAAAGUUACUCUAGGAUAACAGGCUGAUCUCCCCCAAGAGUUCACAUCGACGGGGAGGUUUGGCACCUCGAUGUCGGCUCAUCGCAUCCUGGGGCGGUAGUACGUCCCAAGGGUUGGGCUGUUCGCCCAUGAAAGCGGUACGCGAGCUGGGUUCAGAACGUCGUGAGACAGUUCGGUCCAUAUCCGGUGUAGGCGUUAGAAUAUUGAGAGGAGCCUUCUUUAGUACGAGAGGACCGAGAAGGACAUACCUCUGGUGUACCAGUUAUCGUGCCAACGGUAAACGCUGGGUAGCUAUGUAUGGAGUGGAUAACCGCUGAAAGCAUCUAAGUGGGAAGCCCACCUCAAGAUAAG